Molecule: ribosomal RNA, 618 nt
Filed under: Alexandrium ostenfeldii
Lineage: Eukaryota; Dinophyceae; Gonyaulacales; Pyrocystaceae
Description: LSU rRNA
Rfam family: Eukaryotic large subunit ribosomal RNA
Source: RNAcentral
AUAUAAGUAGGCGGUGGAAAAUGAACCAAAUGGGAUUCCUUAAGUAAUUGCGAAUGAACAAGGAACUGCUCAGCUUGAAAAUUGGGGCCUUCGGCCUUGAAUUGUAAUUUUGAAAUGUAUUGCCAAUGGAGGCGCAGGUGCAAGCCUAUUGAAAGAAAGCGUCAAUGAGGGUGAGAUUCCUUUUUGUCAUUUGCAGUCCUCCGUGCACGGUAUAUAUUUGACGAGUCACACUCCUUGGCAUUGGAAUGCAAAGUGGGUGGUAAAUUCCAUGUAAAGGAAAAUAUAUUAUUGAGACUGAUAGCAAACAAGUACCAUGAGGGAAAUAUGAAAAGGACUUUGAAAAGAGAAUUAAAAGAGUCUGCAUUUGCUGAACAGAAAGCAAACAGAAUUGAUCUACUUGGUGAGAUUGUUGCGUCCACUUGUGGGCGCAAUGGUUCUUGCCUUGAAUGUCAGCGUCUACUUCUGCAAAUUAUUACCCUUGCAUAUGAAUGGUAAUUUGCCUGUGGGCAUUGGAAUGCAUGUGUUUGCAAUGAUUUGUGAUUUGAUACAUGUGUCUGGUGUUCGUGUGUGUGCCUUCUUGCCAACAAGGGGAGGGCUCUCCUCCCUGGGCACUGCAAG